CCUACGGGAGGCUGCAGUGGGGAAUAUUGGGCAAUGGGCGCAAGCCUGACCCAGCAAUGCCGCGUGAAGGAAGAAGGCUUUCGGGUUGUAAACUUCUUUGACAGGGGAAGAGCAGAAGACGGUACCCUGACAACAAGCCACGGCUAACUACGUGCCAGCAGCCGCGGUCAUACGUAGGUGGCAAGCGUUGUCCGGAUUUACUGGGUGUAAAGGGCGUGUAGCCGGGAAGGCAAGUCAGAUGUGAAAUCCGGGGGCUCAACCUCCGAAUUGCAUUUGAAACUGUUGUUCUUGAGUACUGGAGAGGCAGACGGAAUUCGUUGUGUAGCGGUGAAAUGCGUAGAUAUAAGGAGGAACACCAGUGGCGAAGGCGGUCUGCUGGACAGCAACUGACGGUGAGGCGCGAAAGUGUGGGGAGCAAACAGGAUUAGAUACCCCUGUAGUC
Molecule: ribosomal RNA, 442 nt
Filed under: uncultured bacterium
Lineage: Bacteria
Description: partial 16S ribosomal RNA
Rfam family: Bacterial small subunit ribosomal RNA
Source: RNAcentral